RNAcentral lists this transfer RNA (77 nucleotides) under Escherichia coli. RNAcentral's name for it is "tRNA-Gly". It matches the Rfam family "tRNA". From Rfam's summary of the family: Transfer RNA (tRNA) molecules are approximately 80 nucleotides in length. Their secondary structure includes four short double-helical elements and three loops (D, anti-codon, and T loops). Further hydrogen bonds mediate the characteristic L-shaped molecular structure. tRNAs have two regions of fundamental functional importance: the anti-codon, which is responsible for specific mRNA codon recognition, and the 3' end, to which the tRNAs corresponding amino acid is attached (by aminoacyl-tRNA synthetases). tRNAs cope with the degeneracy of the genetic code in two manners: having more than one tRNA (with a specific anti-codon) for a particular amino acid; and 'wobble' base-pairing, i.e. permitting non-standard base-pairing at the 3rd anti-codon position. The record is from RNAcentral. Lineage: Bacteria; Pseudomonadati; Pseudomonadota; Gammaproteobacteria; Enterobacterales; Enterobacteriaceae.
GCGGGAAUAGCUCAGUUGGUAGAGCACGACCUUGCCAAGGUCGGGGUCGCGAGUUCGAGUCUCGUUUCCCGCUGCCA